RNAcentral lists this ribosomal RNA (440 nucleotides) under uncultured bacterium. RNAcentral's name for it is "partial 16S ribosomal RNA". It matches the Rfam family "Bacterial small subunit ribosomal RNA", at positions 338 to 795 of the family's 1533-position model. The record is from RNAcentral.
CCUACGGGUGGCAGCAGUGGGGGAUCUUGCACAAUGGGGGAAACCCUGAUGCAGCGACGCCGCGUGGGCGAAGAAGUAUUUCGGUAUGUAAACUUCUAUCAGCAGGGAAGAAAAUGACGGUACCUGACUAAGACGCACCGGCUAACUACGUGCCAGCAGCCGCGGUAAUAAGUAGGGGGCAAGAGUUAUCCGGAUUUACUGGGGGUAAAGGGGGUGUAGGCGGGUUAGCAAGUCAGAAGUGAAAGCCCGGGGGUCAACUCCGGGACUGCUUUUGAAACUGUUUCACUAGAUUGCAGGAGAGGUGAGUGGAAUUCCUAGUGUAGCGGUGAAAUGCGUAGAUAUUAGGAGGAACACCAGUGGCGAAGGCGGCUUACUGGACUGUAAAUGACGCUGAGGCUCGAAAGCGUGGGGAGCAAACAGGAUUAGAUACCCGAGUAGUC